CCUACGGGAGGCAGCAGUGAGGAAUAUUGGUCAAUGGGCGGGAGCCUGAACCAGCCAAGCCGCGUGAAGGAAGAAGGCGCCAAGCGUCGUAAACUUCUUUUGUCGGGGAGCAAAGUCACCCACGUGUGGGUGUUGGAGAGUACCUGAAGAAAAAGCAUCGGCUAACUCCGUGCCAGCAGCCGCGGUAAUACGGAGGAUGCGAGCGUUAUCCGGAUUUAUUGGGUUUAAAGGGUGCGUAGGCGGGUUAUCAAGUCAGCGGUAAAAUCGUGGAGCUCAACUCCAUCCAGCCGUUGAAACUGAUGAUCUUGAGUGGGCGAGAAGUAUGCGGAAUGCGUGGUGUAGCGGUGAAAUGCAUAGAUAUCACGCAGAACUCCGAUUGCGAAGGCAGCAUACCGGCGCCCGACUGACGCUGAAGCACGAAAGCGUGGGUAUCGAACAGGAUUAGAUACCCCAGUAGUC
Molecule: ribosomal RNA, 459 nt
Filed under: uncultured bacterium
Lineage: Bacteria
Description: partial 16S ribosomal RNA
Rfam family: Bacterial small subunit ribosomal RNA
Source: RNAcentral